GCGGACGGGUGAGUAAUGCUUAGGAAUCUGCCUAUUAGUGGGGGACAACAUUUCGAAAGGAAUGCUAAUACCGCAUACGUCCUACGGGAGAAAGCAGGGGAUCUUCGGACCUUGCGCUAAUAGAUGAGCCUAAGUCGGAUUAGCUAGUUGGUGGGGUAAAGGCCUACCAAGGCGACGAUCUGUAGCGGGUCUGAGAGGAUGAUCCGCCACACUGGGACUGAGACACGGCCCAGACUCCUACGGGAGGCAGCAGUGGGGAAUAUUGGACAAUGGGCGCAAGCGUAUCCAGCCAUUCCGCGAGGUUUAAGGAGGCCUUUUUGUUUUUAAGCAAUUUAAGGGAGGAGGAGGCUACCUUAGGUAAAACCUUGAGAAAGUGGAUGUUACCUCCAGAAGAAGCACCGGCUAACUCUGUUCCAGCCGGCGCCGUAAUACCGAGGGUACAAGCUUUAAUCGGAUUUACUGGGCGUAAAGCGCGCGGAGGCGGGUUAUUAAGUCAAAUGUUAAAUCCCCGAGCUUGACUUGGGAAUUGCCUUCCAUACUGGUUAGCUUGUAGUGUGGAGAGAGAUGGUAGAAUUCUCCGGAGUAGCGGCGGAAUGCGGAGAGAUCUUGAGGAAUACCCAUGGCGGAGGCGCCAUCUGGCUCACACUGAACUUGAGGUGCGAAACAUGGUGAGCGAACAGGAUUAGAUACCCCGGAUAGCAUGCCGUAAACAAUUCUACAUGCCGUUGGGGCCUUGGACUCUAGUGGCCCCCUCCACGCGCUAGUAGACCGCCUGGGAGCACGUCGCAGACUAAACUCAAUUGAUUGACGAGUGCCUCGCCAGCGUGCGGAGGCAUGUAGUUCAGUCGAUGCAUCGAAGACCUACCCUGCUGACAAGUAGAACUUUCCAGGAGUCGAUCGG
This 901-nucleotide ribosomal RNA is filed under the name Acinetobacter calcoaceticus. RNAcentral describes it as "bacterial SSU rRNA". It matches the Rfam family "Bacterial small subunit ribosomal RNA", at positions 98 to 1008 of the family's 1533-position model. The record is from RNAcentral. Lineage: Bacteria; Pseudomonadati; Pseudomonadota; Gammaproteobacteria; Moraxellales; Moraxellaceae.